AACGAACGCUGGCGGCAGGCUUAACACAUGCAAGUCGAGCGCCCCGCAAGGGGAGCGGCAGACGGGUGAGUAACGCGUGGGAAUCUACCCAUCCCUACGGAACAACUCCGGGAAACUGGAGCUAAUACCGUAUACGCCCUACGGGGGAAAGAUUUAUCGGGAUGGAUGAGCCCGCGUUGGAUUAGCUAGUUGGUGGGGUA
Molecule: ribosomal RNA, 200 nt
Filed under: uncultured bacterium
Lineage: Bacteria
Description: partial 16S ribosomal RNA
Rfam family: Bacterial small subunit ribosomal RNA
Source: RNAcentral